This 3598-nucleotide long non-coding RNA is filed under the name Homo sapiens (human). RNAcentral's name for it is "HSALNT0257633". Lineage: Eukaryota; Metazoa; Chordata; Mammalia; Primates; Hominidae. The record is from RNAcentral.
UGCAAAUGGAGCAUUUGCCAGCACCCUGUUGCCUGCUUCUUACUGUACAUGUGGUUAACAAGGAAAUGGGAAGAGGGUGUCACCAUUUUAAACAUGCGCCGUCCGCAGUUAGUCCCUUUUCCUAUUGGCACAGCUGCCGACAUUUAUUCAUGCAAGCUUUCAGCUUGCUUAUCGAUGUUUGGAGCUUGAUUUUACAGGCUGUUCUUUGUUAAAAAAGAAAUAAUUUGUGGGCUGCUUUUUAUUAAAAGGAAAGCUUUACGAAGGACUUUCUUGCCCUCACUCACUAUCUGCCUAAAUAAUUUCUUUUUAACUCCUGUAUCAAUAAUAAUGUCAUGGGAAACAUUUAUGAUGUAUUUGUAUGUAUGAAUAAGCAAGAUAGCAAACUCUAGUUGUUCUUUUUAAUUUAUUUUUACAAAAGUGUUGUGUACAAAUGUAAUUUAGUUACAUGCAUAGACUGCAUAGUGGCGAAGUCAGGGCUUUUAGGGUAUCCAUCAUUCAAAUAAUUUACAUUAUAACCCUUAAGUAAUUUCUCAUUAUCCAGCACCCACCCUACCUUCUCACCCUUUUACUUCAGGUUUGCUGGGCCUCAAUGACAAAUAAAACAAAGAUAAAUUAAUUGUUUUCUGGGAGUUAGAAUUAAAAAUCAACCUAAGAGAAAAGAUGACUCCUAAGCCAAAAUUUGUGAUAUAUAUAUAUAUAUAUAUGUGUGUGUAUAUAUACACACACACACAGAAACAUGUUUCUGUGUGUGUGUGUGUGUGUGUAUAUAUUUGUUUAUACUCAAGAAACUUAUCCAGUCUUUCCCUCUGCACAAAUCCAAAAUUAAAGCCAAAUGGUUCUAUGUGAUAAACAUCAUGGUAAUAACUUCAAAAAACAAAAAAAAAAGCUUCCUCCAGUGAAUGUAAAUUUAAAAAAAUGAAACAACUGUUUCUCCAGAUGUGCAGAAAUCAAUAUAAAGACACAUAAAGACAGAGAAAACACAGAAAAGCAAGGUUUAUGACACUUUCAAAGGAACACAAUAAUUCUCCAGUAUUCCAAGAAAAAAAAAAUAAUUGAAAGGACUUUAAAAGACUUUUAGAAGGCUUCAAAAUAUAGAUUUUAAAGAAGCUCAAAGAGAUGCAAAAGAAAUCUAAAAACCAAUACAAAAAUAAAUAAAUAAAUUUAGAGUAUGAAUGGGAAAUGUGCCAAGGAGAUAAAUAUCUUUUAAAAGAAACCAAAACAAAAUUAUGGAACUGAAAGAUUUACUGAAGGAAAAAGAAAAUACAUUCAAUGAUCCAAUAGUAGACUGAAAAGGCAUAAACAGAAUUUUCAGACCUUUAAAUGGGUCUUUUAAAAUAAUCUACUCAGACAAAACUAAGAAGAAUUUUAAAAAACGAACGAAAACUUUGAGAUGUUUCUGACUACAUAAAGUGACUAAACAUAAAAAUUAUCAGUGUUUCUUAGAAAGAAAAAAACAUGAAAAAGUUUAGAAAACCUAUUUAAGAAAAUAAAUGAUGAAAAAUUUCCAAGUCUAGCAAUAGAAUUAGACAUACAUAUACAGGAAGCUCAGCAAUCACCAGUAAAAUAAAUUGCAAAACAGACUUCAUCAUGGCACAUGAUAACCAGAAUUUCUAAAGUCGAAAUGAAAUAACUAAUUAUAAAAUCAGCAAAAGAAAAGCAUCUAGUCAUUUAUAAAGAAAACCACAUCAGACUAAAAGCACACUUCUCAACAGAAACUUUACUGGCCAGAAGAUAAUGGAAUGGCACUUAGAGAGUGUUGAAAUAAAAGUGCCAGCCAAAAAUUUUACAUCAAGGUAAAUUAACCUUCACAAAUGAAGAAGAAAUAGUCUUACCCUGACAAAUAAAUGCUGGGGAAACUAAUUACCACUAGACUGGGUCUAUAAAAGAUGUCAGGGAUUUCUUUUUUUUUUUUUUUUUUUUUUUUCUGAGACAGUUUUGCUCUUGUUGCCCAGGCUGGAGUGCAAUGGCACAAUCUCGGCUCACUGCAACCUCUGCCUUCCAGGUUCAAGUGAUUCUCCUGCCUCAGCCUCCCAAGUAGCUGAAAGUACAGGCACCCGCCACCUCACCCAGCUAAUUUUUGAAUUUUUAGUAGAGACGGAGUUUCACCAUGUUGGCCAGGCUAGUCUCAAACUCCUGACCUCAGGUGAUCAACCCACCUCAGUCUCCCAAAGUGCUGAGAUUUCAGGCAUGAGCCAUUGUGCCAGGCCGGUACUUCUAAUAGAAAAACAAAAGAUUGAUAUUCACCAUCAUUAAAACAUACAAAAGUAUAAAACUAACAGGUCUUAUAAAACAAAAGACAAAAAGAAAUAAAUCAAAUCACAACAUGACAGAAUUUUAUUAAACCAGAAAGAUAGAUGAAAAAAAAAACAAAAUAAUUAACAUUAUGAUAGUAACAAAACCUACAUGUUAAUAUUAAUAUUAACCAUGGCCGGGUGAGGUGGCUCAUACCUUUUGGAGGCCAAAGAGGGUGGAUCACCUGAGAUCAGGAGUUUGAGACCAGCCUGGCCAACACUGUGAAAACCCAUCGCUACUAAAAAUACAAAAAAUUAGCUGGGCACGGUGGUGGGCACUUGUAAUCACCGCUACUCAAUAGGCUGAGGCAGGAGAAUCACUUGAACUUGGGAGGCAGAGGUGGCAGUGAGCCGAGAUCGCACCAUUGCACUCCAACCUGAGCAACAAGAAUGAGACUCCAUCUCAAAAAAUAAAAAGAAAAAGAAAGAAAAAAUUAACCUUGAAUAUAAAUUAAUUAAAUCCUUCAUCAAAAUGUAUAGAUUUAUGAUAUGAAUAAGAAAAAAUCGUCCAACUCUAUGGUGCCUACAAGAAUCUCACCUUACUUGUAAGACACAUAUAGAUUAAAAAUAAGGGAGGAAAGAUAUCAACAGAAACAGAAACCAAAAGCAAACAGGAGUAUCUGUAUGUAUAUCAAAUAAAACACUUUAAAUAAAAAGUGCAACAAAAAGGGUAAAGAAGGUAAUCAUCCAAUAAUAAAGAAAUCUUUUCAGCAAAAAGAUAUAACAAUUCUAAAUAUCUAUGCACCCAACAUCAAAGCACCCAGAUUUUAAAUAGAAAUAUUAUUAAACCUAUAGAAAGAGAUAGUAACACAAUGAUAGUGGAGAAAUUCAACAUUCUACUCACAGCAUCAGAGAGACCAUUGAGAUAGGAAAUUGGCAAAUCAACAAAGUACCCCCAUAAAUCACAAUUAUAUCAACUACCUACUUAGAUCACAGGAGAAUAAAACUACAAAUCAAUAUCAAGAGAAAUUUCAGAAACUAUAAAUUUACAAAGAAUUUAAACAACAUACUCCUGAACAGUCACGGUGUAAAUGAAGUAAUUAAGAUGGCCGGCCAGGGGUGGUGGCUCACAGCUGCAAUCCCAGCACUUUGGGAGGCUGAGGCAGGUGGAUCCCCUGAGGUCAGGAGUUUGAGACUAGCCUGGGCAACAUGGCAAACCCCAUCUCUACAAAAAAUACAUAUUAAAAAAGCUAAAUGUGGUGGUGCACACCUAUAGUCUUAGCCACUCGGGAGGCUGAAAUAAAAAGAUCGCUUUAGCCUGGAAGGCAGAGGUUGCAGUGAGCCAAGAUUGUGCUACUACACUCCAG